AAGAAACCCAAACCCAAACCCAAACCCAAACCCGUCUUUGGGAUCUGAUUUGGCGGUGAUCUGUUUUCAUCACUGUGAUCUGUUUUCCCUACCUCAACCAUAGCGAUUUGCUUCCCCAAAGCCCUCACCAGUGGCCAUAGAUUCUCGUCGCUGAGAAGCUCCGACAGCCGUAACAACUUCCCUUUCUUUUAAUCGUUUCUUCCUUUAACGAUUUCGACUCCGACAGCCCAAUCUACUCAGAUGGCAUCAUCAUCAUCGUCUCGGCGGUCGAUAGAUAUGGGGAGAAGGAACAGAGGAGGACCGGUUAUCGUGAGAUGUACAGAAAAUCCACAGCCUCCUAUAUAUGACAAAUAUUUCUGUUUAUCCACCGCUGAGUUUGACGAUUCUUACAACAUCAAAGAAUGGUACAUGCUCAAUCUAUCUAGCAAUAAUAAUAAUGAGAAGGAGAAACCAGCAGGUUUUGCAGUCUCAGGUGGUUGUCGGCAGUCACAGGUGUGUCCAGUCAGGCGUGGGGUUUUCAAGAGUUUGGGGGCUCAAGAGCUGUUUGGGUCAGGUGUAGGGCACUCGAGGCUGGCGUGGGUUCUAGUUGUGUAUCGGUGUUAUAGGUAGGUUGAUUGCUAUUUUGAUGUCAAGGAGGAAUUUUAUGUAGAGGGAGCCACAUAUACACCAUGCAUGUUUUUGGUGAAUGUUUGUGCACUGGUAAUCAAGAAAUAUCUUUUUAUCUUGAAGAAGUUUACGUAUGAUUUUUUUUUUCCUUCCCUUUUAUCACCUGAUGCAAGUUCUUCCCAAUUCCCAAGAAAAAACAAUGUAUUGGCUGUAUGGUUAGUUAUUGACUUGCUGUUUCCUUGUUAAGUUAGAUUAUUAUAGUUGGCUUGUGGAUCGGUAGCUAUUUCAUUUGGUUUAUCAUAGUUAUUUUCUACAUCCAUUGAGUUAGGUAUAGAAUUGUAAUAUA
Camellia sinensis is the source of this 952-nucleotide non-coding RNA. The record is from RefSeq and is a predicted model, not a curated record. NCBI's taxonomy places the organism in Eukaryota, Viridiplantae, Streptophyta, Magnoliopsida, Ericales, Theaceae.